This 25968-nucleotide long non-coding RNA is filed under the name Nicotiana benthamiana. RNAcentral's name for it is "long non-coding RNA (NBEN_LNC036785)". Lineage: Eukaryota; Viridiplantae; Streptophyta; Magnoliopsida; Solanales; Solanaceae. The record is from RNAcentral.
ACCCAUAUUUAAGGAGGUAAAUUUAUUAAAGGCAUACCUAAAGCGACUAACGGGUUAUUAUAUUUACCAGGGACCGUGAAUUUCACUAAACGGUACGCCCCAAAUUCUAAGUAUUUUUAUUAAAAAUUUAAUGAGGGCCCCGCAAUUUAUGCAUUUUUGUUUGGCGAGGCUCAUCUCAUUUUACGUUUUAAAGGCCAACCUAAAGCAAACUAUGAUUUUCUAUUUAUUUUUUCUCUAAAAGGGCCAAAUUAAUUUACAUUUAUAAAUUCGGGCCUCGAGUUCAAGUCCGAAUUAAAACAAAAGGGAAGACCCACUUAAUUUGAACACGCUACCUAACUCGAGAACCUAAAUUUAUAUUGCAAAUUAAUCCCUAGAUCCCUAAUAUAAUUUUAAAUGAUUUUUGACUUCUAGCAUUUUUGGGCCUUGAAGGUUUGGCCCAGGUCUCAGACUAACUGACUCAAAGAAUAAUUGGGCUUUCUGAAUUGCUUUUGUCCAACCCAAUCAACCCAGUGUUUAUCAAUCCAACAGGCUUGAGAAACACUGUCCUGUAGCUACAUCACAGGCCCAAUUAGAGCUGAAACUAACGAGUGACACUAACCUUUGAGAAAUAUGUUGAAUCCUAUUUAAUUACUCAAGGUUUCAAUAGUCGGAAGCACCAUUUUUAUACUGUAGCUAUUUGUUUCUUUGCGUAAAUCAUCAAUUAACAUGAAACGCCAUGUGAAUAACGAUCUGAGUUUUCCUUUUUGACUUAGGCUUAUUACACAGAUGGCCUAGUUGAGUUAUAUCAAAAUGUGAAAAACUGAAUAAUAUGGAAUGCUGCCCAAGUCAAAUUCAUUUUCUCCACUUAUAUUUUCCAAGUCUAAGUCAACGGAUUAUUAAUCAUAAAUGAAGAUCUGGAAUGCUGUUGCAUAAAAUCAAAGACUAAACUAUUCACCAAACGAAAUAUACUAAGCUAAUGACCAAUCAACAAUCCAAUACCAAUUAAUAGCCUUUUGACAGACCAAAUCAGUUUAAAUCAGUCCUAAUUAUACAGUCCAAAUAAUCCAUGGUAAGGUUAAACUGAUUUCUACAAUUACACACAUCAACUCCUAUUUAAUUAUAAAAAACAAAGAUUCAUCUAAAUAUGAAAGAGUAGGAAUGCAGUAAGCUAAUGGAGCAUGAGAAAUUGUGCAUUGACUUGUAUUCACUUGCAAAUACAUGCUAUACAGCUGUGUAGAAGCAGAAUGAGUACCUGGGAAUUGAAAUACAAUAAGAAAGGAGGGAUCAGCAGCAGUUCAAAGCACAGCAAAAGAAUCAGCAGAUCCCAGCAAGUCUGCUUAAAAUCCAGCAGUGAAAAACCAGCAAAACAAGUCCAAAAAUUGAUUGAGCUGAUAAAUUUAGCUUGAAAUCAGCCUUGGAGAUGUUUCAAUUAACCAACUAGGAACAACUUAAACAGGCUCAAAUGAGUUAGAAAAUGGAUCCAGGAACACUUAAUAACCUCAGCACUCCAAUGUCCAACCCAAGGAUGAAAAUUAAUGCCUAGUAUUGAUACCUAAUUUUUUCCUAUAUAUUUUUGCACCCAAAAUACUUUUGAAAUAGUAUAUGUAUGCAUAUAUAUAUAUAUAAGCAUGCUUGUAAAUUUUGGUAUUUUUCCUUAAUUUUUUAAGAGUUUUAAAAUAAAGUUACUGACUUUUUUUUACAGUAUAAAUGUCAAAAUUAUUACUUUUAGUGAAUAAUAUGUUUCACUCUCAUAUUUACAAUAAGAUAUAAUUUAUGUAAUUUUUGCACAAUUUUUAAAAAUUUAUUUGGAAUUUUUAAAGCUAGUUGCAUAAAAUUGCAAUUAUAGCCUACUUUUACAAUUAAUUAUGAUUUAUAGUUAUAAAAUUAUUUCUAAUAUUUUUAGAUUAAUACUUAUAUGUUAUUAAUUAGUUUGAUGCUUUCAAUUUGACAUUUUAAACUAUUUUAGCUGUUUUUAUAAAAUAAAUUGCGAGAAAUUGGCUAUUUAAAAGUUAGCUAGAUUUUAUUUAAAUUAUAGCCUAAGUUGAACACCCAAGUCAGCCCUAUUUUUGAACCCAAUUAGACGAACCAGUUCAUAAAAUAACAGGCCCAUACCCAUCAAUUUACCCGACCCAUCUUUGAUUCAAUCUGAGCCGUUGAUCAAAUGAGAUCAACGGCCCAGAUUUAAUUUCCUAAAUUAAAACCUAAUGAACCCCACCCCUCACCCUCAUUUGCAAGAGACUGGUCUCUCUCUCUCUUGAACCCUUCGUCUCUAUGUUCUCUCUAGAACCUUCUGGUUAACUCUCUAAUUUCCGAUGGUCUUCAUCGCCGUUCCGGCCACCUCCACCCUCAUUCCUCUCGACCACCAUUCACCAUGGAACCUCAUCUCAUUAUAUCUCUCUAAGGCUCAAAGUCCAGAAGCUUCCGCCAUGGAAGAUAGCCACUGAAGCUUCGCCUAAGUCUAUGCAGGUCUUUCUCCGGUGGUUUAUAGUCCGAUGAUGCCUUAAACUCCGUUAUUGAUGAGUUUCACGGCCAGAUUCUUCCUUUCUCUAAUUCGUUCGAAAACCCUAAUUUUUCUACUCAAAUCUCUUUAAUAUUUGUUCUUUUAAAAUGAUUUUUAGUUUAAGUUUUGUUUUCUACUCUAUUUCUCACUCAAUAUCUCUGAUUAUCUCAAGUUUUUCGAUGAUUUUUCUCUUUUUCAAAAUUAGGGUAUCUGACCCAUUUGUCAAAAUUGCUUCUUCUACUUUUCUGGAGUAUUAUGUGUUUGUCCGUGUUGUGAGUUUUUUGGUUUCCUUUUUAAGUUGAGUUGCAUNNNNNNNNNNNNNNNNNNNNNNNNNNNNNNNNNNNNNNNNNNNNNNNNNNNNNNNNNNNNNNNNNNNNNNNNNNNNNNNNNNNNNNNNNNNNNNNNNNNNNNNNNNNNNNNNNNNNNNNNNNNNNNNNNNNNNNNNNNNNNNNNNNNNNNNNNNNNNNNNNNNNNNNNNNNNNNNNNNNNNNNNNNNNNNNNNNNNNNNNNNNNNNNNNNNNNNNNNNNUUUUUCGAUGAUUUUUCUCUUUUUCAAAAUUAGGGUUUCUGACCCCUUUUCAAAAUCGUAUGUCUUCUGCUUUUCUUGAGUGUUAUGUGUUUGUUCGUGCUUGUUUUUGUUACGAGUGUGUUUAGUUUCCUUGUUAACCUGAGUUCCAUGCCUUAAUUUCUUGCUAUGGUUCCGACUCUUUGUUGCUCCCAUGCUUUCUUGCUUAGGGUUCUCUGAUUUUUAUGUCUAUUGUGCUUUAUAGGCCUAAAUGUUCAUCAUUCGUGUAAUAUUCUACUGAUUUUGUACAUCUCUGCGAAUUUUUGAUUUGUAUGUGAUUUUCCUUAGACGCUUUACACUGAUUUCUUUUGAAUUACUUCCUUACUUAGAUAGGUUUUCCUUACUUAGAUACCAUUCCCUCUGAUUUUUUUGUCUUGUCCGUGAUUCUUUGAUUAAUUAUCAAAAUUAAUUAGUAUUCCCUUACCAUAUUUGUGCAUGAGCAGUCGUUUGAAUCUUUAACAUAUAUUUUCCUUACUUGAAUUAGUAUGUAUCUAACCCAUAUUGCAUAUUAUAUGCUCUACUACUUUUACUAGGGUAAAUGCAGAGUCCGAUUGAUUCUUUUCCUUUUUAAACCCACUGCUUGUUACCGUUUGUCUUUGAUUCCUUAGUUAAAGGGGAGUCCUUAUAUUAAUUGGAUUUUGAUUGAUGCCAGUUCCUUAAUUAUAGUUUGCUGCCUUGUUUGUUUACUAGUUUUAGGUCUAUAAGUACCCUCUUCCAUAUUGCUGCCAUAUUACUAGUUUUGCUCCCUUAAAAAAAUAUUGCAUAUCUCUCACAAGUUCAAACUCUCGGAACUCUCUCUCAGUUUCUCUAUUGUUUCUAUACUCUCUCAUUCUUCUAUUUGAACACUCAAUCGGCUGAAGGCCAAGAUUGAGCAAUCUUGCCUUUUCAUUUCUACACUACUAGGGUUCCACAGCAUUAUUUUACUUGGGCUUGCUUGUUGCUUGCUUCUCUGCACUGGCGUUCUCACACUGCUACUCUCAUUCUCUACACACUUUGCUCUCUUUCUGUGCAUUAUUGCUCAUUGUUCUUAUGUUCUAUUUCCCUACAACUGGUAUGCGAUCUAUUUAGUAUAAUUCCGAAACAAUAUGCUUUUGUUAGUUCUGCACUUCACCUUGUUCCUUGUGUGUUUUUACCUAUGGUUCUGCUGCUCUUGUUAUAACUAGCAUGUGUUUAUCAGUUUUCCUAGUUUAACUCAGCAUGCUUCCCUUAGCCCAUUCCUCAUCUCAAUGAAUGUUUACUUUUCCUUGUGUACGACUACCAUGUAUCCUGGUCUGCUUUGCUACUUGAUUAGCCUAAAACCUCUUCCUGAGGUUGAUUGUAUUAGAGUUUGGUGCAGUAAGAACUGAACUCUUGUUUUGCAACCAUUUCUGAUUACUUUACUCCAAUGUGUUGACUGUGUGAGUAGUUUAUUUUGCUUAUUUGUUCCCUUCCCAUUUGUCCUUGUUUGUGUGAUGCUCUGUUUUUCUAAAACCUAGUCAGUCCAAAUGAUUUCAAAAGAACUCUUUCAACUGUUUUCAGAAACUGUCUCAACUGUUUUCAAUUCUCUCAGUCCUACCACAAUCUCACUACUCUUAGAACAUUAGGUUCUACCCCCUUAGUGUGAGCAUUGCUUUGAGAGACCUUGAGCACCCAUUGAACUUUGAUGUACAAGACUGGCACUUCCACACUUGCACUUGUCAAAUAAUGAUAUUUUGGGUGCUUGGUAUUGCCCAGGGGUUCAAACGAACCCUUAGGGAACUUUGCCGCACCCAAACCUUGGUAUUGGGUGUGAAAUUGGAAAUAAGGGAGGUUGGAGCUUUUUGGCUAGGCCAAAUGCUCCCUAUAGAAUAACUUCUUGUUUUUUUUAUCAUUUGUAUUUAAUUAUUUGGGUUGUAAUAAUUUGUAAAAAAGGAUGGGGGUUUAUAAUGAAUUGGGAGGGUUAUACAUGCUUAAGUUAAGGGAAUGGGUUGACAACAUGUCCAUAGGUCUUUAUUUAUUGCUUGUGCAAUGGAUACCAUGCUUUAGGACAUGCAUCUCUGCAUAUAGAAAUCAUGUUCCUAGGAUUUUCACUCUCAGUUGUUACUCUGCACGUUCUCUUAAUCACAAUUAGGGGUGGCAAAUGGGCGGGUUUGGCUGAAUUUGGGCGGGUCAAGAUGGGUUAGGUAAUAAAUGGGUCAUUGCCCAACCCAGCCCAAAGUAUAUUUGGGCUAGGAUGGGUUGGGUCAAGAUGGGCUAAACAAUGGGUCAUAACUGAACCCGUCCAACUUGACCCAUAUUUUAGAACCAUGCUAAUCUUGCAUAAAAAAAAUAUUUUACCUUAAAAUAUAUAAAUUGACAAAUAUUUUAUAGAUAGGGAGAUGGGGUUGGGGUAGGUGGGUGAUGCGUAAAAAUAAAAAAACAAAAAAUUAAAAAUACAAAAAAAAGUACAAAUUUUUUUNNNNNNNNNNNNNNNNNNNNNNNNNNNNNNNNNNNNNNNNNNNNNNNNNNNNNNNNNNNNNNNNNNNNNNNNNNNNNNNNNNNNNNNNNNNNNNNNNNNNNNNNNNNNNNNNNNNNNNNNNNNNNNNNNNNNNNNNNNNNNNNNNNNNNNNNNNNNNNNNNNNNNNNNNNNNNNNNNNNNNNNNNNNNNNNNNNNNNNNNNNNNNNNNUUAAGGGGGAGGGUGGGUGGUGUAGAAAUACAAAAAAAUAAAAAAAUGAAAAUACAAAAAAAGUAAAACAUUAUUUGGGGGGUAAGGGGUAGGGCUAGGGUGAGCGGGUGGGUGGUGUAGAAAACAAAAGAAUAGAAAAUUUAAAAUAUAUAAAAAAAUUAGGACAACUAAGUAAAUUUCUAGAUAAGUUGGGUUGAGAUCCUUUGUUGUGGGUGAGUUUCAUUGGUUGUAUUUGGGCUGUUAAAUGUGUCAUAAUUGGCUAUAAAAAAUAAUGGGUUAACUUGGGCUCAACCAAAUUAACCCAUGAGCUAAAAUGUUGUAGCUCAACCCAUUAAUCUCUGAGUUAGUUGGGCGGGUUAAAUGAAAUUGUGAUUAAAUUGCCACCCCUAAUCACAAUGAAUCAAUAAUCAACAAGUCAUUAGCAUCACAUUUAGAUACCAUGUGUAUAUGACUUUUGUGCAUUAGAUAUCCGGCCCUUUAGGAUUUUUAUUUGCAACUGUUUAAACACUUCACUAAAUUGGUAAAAUUGGUUAACGACUCUCAUUUUAAAAGUGGAAGCAAAUGUACAUGCUCACAAUCUUUAAUAAUGCCUAGGCAAGCCUUAGGCCGGAUAUAAACUGACUAAUCACCUUAAAGCCGUGUUUAAAUUAAUACGCCUCUGUCUGAACUCGUUUAUCUCUGAAGUCCUCUAAUUUCAUACAAACAUCUGCCCUAUUUUUAUACUAUCUAUGCAAAAGGUUUUAACUGUAUUUUUUCUCCAGAAUUGGACUACUAUUUCAACUAUCAGAAUACUGUAAUUUUCAAAAGCUCAAAAGCUAGUAUGUUUGCUGUCUCUCUUUACACUUAUGCAAUCUCAAAAUAUUUUCAUAUUUGUCCUUUCACUCUGCCUGUCUAAAAAACUGUUUUACCAUAUGUUCCACAAAUGUUUUUUCUAAGUAUUUUAUGCAGAUUACUAAAACUGCUACUGCCUUCUUAAAGUUCUAAAUGCUUUUCUUACGACCUCUUUUCUUCAAAAACUCUCCUGCUUCUGUUUUUAACUUAUACUCCAGCUUUGUAGAACUCUCACUCUUCCUUAAGACCAUAAAUCUGUCUGAGACGUGCUAAUUACGUGUUUAUUCUUAGGGGGUAUUUGAGCCUUUUAUAUAUUUAUAUGAUCCCCUUAUGUGCAUGUCCUAUUUAUUCUUGUAUGUCGUCUAGCAUUUUAACCUUUAAACUUAAAGGUUCAGCCUAGUUCUUACCUUAUAGGAAUAGUGAUCCUAAAUGCCUUCUAGGAUCUAUAGGAUGGGAUGGAUAAUAACACACAGUAAGUAUUCGUGACCAAUCUACACGCUUAAAUAACCUAUACGGGGCGGGAAGGGUAGAAUUUGGAGAUGAUGACGAUGCGAUAAUAUCAUAAAGCAACCACUCUUUGGGAAUAUCUGCGGGAUAUUGUAUCAAAUGAUCCAUAUUAUAGUUAAACCUAGGAAUCCCCCCCCCCCUCUUACUUUUGUCUGAGUACUUUCUCUAAAAUAUUCCCUUUUACUUAUACUAUUCUUCUUGCAAAACUGCCCAUUAGUUUUUUGUAUUCUUUAUAUGCACACUUACCUGUCUAUUUCUAUGCUCCUUAAAGUCAUAUCUAAGCAAGGCCGGGAACCACACCAGUGGAUCUUGAGGAUUGCCUAAUACCUUCCCCUCGAGAUAAUUCAAGCCCUUACCCGAACUGUUGUUUUCAUUCAAAAUAUUCUUCUUCUUAAAAGUGUCCUAACACUAUAAUCAUUAGGUGGCGACUCUUCAAACUCCUUAACCCAAUUCCCACAAAGGGAAUAAGAGUUUUUUGCCCAUAAUGUCGUAAACCCAAUUUCGGUUCUUUUAGGGGAGGGAAAAAAGGGGGCGUCGACAGCAUGGCGACUCUGCUGGGGAUUUUCGUUAAGGCUUUUACCAUUACUUGCUUUUGUGACUUUAUUUCUUACUUAAUUGCAUUUAUUUUUCGUCUUUGAUUAUUCCAUCACAAUUACUAACUUGACUUUCCAUGUUUUCUUUUUCCUUUAACUGCUUUCCUUACCGCUCUAUUAUAUCAAUAUUGUUUUAAUUUCGAGCAACUAUUGUGAUCAUUUAUCUUAUGAACGUGAAAAUACAUGUAACUUGUUUCAUUAUUGUAAUUGCAUCUCUCAACAUCAUCUUCCACUCGUACCGAUACAAAUCUUACAGCAACGCUUAUAAUGAGUGGUUGCGCCCUUCAGAUAUUACAAACCCCCUAAAUGUAUCAAAUGCAUAUUUGCGGUAAAAUCUGUCGAUCAAACAAAUCCUAUAGCAACACUUACAAUGAGGGGUUGCGCUCUUCCAAAAUUAUAAAUCCCAUAAAUGUGGCAAAGGUAAACUUGCGGUAAAACUAGUCGAUCAACGGUGUAGUCGAUGGUUCCGCGCCUUUCCCUCUUAAGUUGUCCGCUCAAAGGUACCUUUUCUUGCACUUCAAAAGUAUAAACCUUAUUCCUUUAAAAUGUUCAUGCAUCAAGGUCAACCUUAGCCGAGUCAGGUAUGUUGUACGCAUAAUGACUCAUUAAGAUAGCCAACACCAAAGUCCAUCGGGUUUCCUGAAACCCAAGCUGACGCCUUCACGUUAUGUGCAUUUAUUUGGAGAACUGAAUGCUUUUUACUAAUUAUUGAUUUAAAUAGUCGAGUCUGGUGGGGUUAAGUGCCUAAGAGUUUGUUUUGCAAAAAUGAGGCACGAGGUCCCCAGAUUCGGUAUGGUAUCCAACAUCCACCCAAGGUUGCUGAGGGGGUUAAGGGCCUAACACUUUGUUUUGAAGAAAAUGAGGCACGAGGUCCCCAGAUUCGGUAUGGUAUCCAUCAUCCACCCAAGGUUGCUGAGCUGGCGGGAGGAUCUUCAUUGCAGUGAUCAAACCCUCGUCCGUAAGCACCUAGGGAAUUUUCCUUCGCUUUUGGAAAUCCAACCCAAUAAUAAAAUAAUUGAGGCUGCCACUUUGUUUUGGGAUGGUGAUCGAUCAGUAUUCCGUUUUGGAGAUGACCCCUUUGCUAGAAGAAAUAGGGGGCCUAGCUGGCAUCCCUUAGGAAAUGCUGGGUUUACUCAUGCCGGAGAAUCGCAAAAUUAGAGAUUUCCUUAAAAUGAUGGGACUCAAGAAAAAUCCCAACCUUUCUUUCUUGAAGGACUCUUACAUACCAUUCGAAUCCCUAUGCGAGAGAUAUGGCCACAGUAAGUCCUAUCGCACCUACAUGGAUGAAUUCUCCCUCACCUCUUUGGGGAACAUACAUAGAAGGGUGUUUGUGUUUAUGUUUUGCUUGAGAGAUACGAUCACAGUAAUUUUUAUCACACCUACAUGGAUGAAUUCGCGCUCACCUCUUUGGAGCACAUACAUAGAAGGGUGUUUGUGUUUAUGUUUUGCUUCUUGGGCAUGAUAAUAUUUCCUAUGAAGAAGGCUAAGAUCCACACCAGACUAGUCAUGGUUACUAAGACAUUAAUGGAAGGGAUCGAUGGACAAUCAUUCAGCAUAGUACCUAUAAUCCUCGCGGAAGUCUAUCGAGCCUUGGGGAAGUGCCAACAAGGGGCUCCACAUUUCGAGGGUUGUAACUUAUUACUUCAACUAUGGCUCCUAGAUAACCUUCAGAAAGGCGACUACAGACAGGAAUCAUACGAAGAGAUUGGGAUGACCAUAUCGCUUUUCAUCAUCCAAAGUGAAUGAACUUCAUGCCCAAUAUGUUCUCUCAGCCAGAGGAUGCUAGUGGAUAGGUAAAGUUAUUGGAGAAUCUUAAAGAAGAGCCAAUUCAGUGGAUGUUCGAGUGGUUCCCAACAGGGGAGUUUAUUGUCCGUUCUCGAGAUGCACAGUUCCUCAUACUCAUUGGCCUGAGGGGAACUCAUCCUUACAUGCCCCUAUGAGUGAUGAGGCAAGUCGGAAGGAAACAAAUAAUACCCAGGAUGGAAAAAAUGGGUCACUUGAAGGCCGACUUUCAAAAUGAUGAUAGCCCACAUAGGUGUCAUGCUCAACAUAUGUGGCACUACAAGCUCGUUCUAGGGAAGGAUUCUAUUGAACCAGACAUGUAUCAUGUCGGGUAUGUGCCGCAUUACACAGGUUUUUUGGAAGAUGAUCACAUUGGUUUGGGUCGCCCAACGUUUGUCCAUGGUCACAUAAUUAUUCACGAGAAAGCUGAGGCACAAGUCAAAUACAAUCAACUGCGCAAGAUGAUGAGAGAAUGUGAGAACAAACAUCGGGAAAUACAAGAAGCCCACAAAAAGCUGAUCAACGAGUGGAAGGAUAUGGCUGUCAACGCCAACAAUCAUUUGGGGCAUCUGGAGCAAGGUUUGGUAGAGUUGGAAGGAAAGUUCUUGCAAAGGAUCAAAGACGGUCAGAAUGCUGAGGGAAGCACAGGCGUACAUUUGGCUCGAGCCUACCUACUGUUAGGGAUGCGCGAGUUGAUGCAGCUAUGCGGUGGAGGCAAGAAUACUGAAUCUGGGGAAGUUCCUUCUGAGACAAAGUAGUUAGGAGUCUUUUCUUUUGCUUUAAUUAUGUAAUAAGGCCAAUGGCAAUUAGUGACAUUUUAUUUAGUGUCGCUUUGGGAUUCGUCUAAUUUUUAUCAAUAAAUAAGGCAUUUAGCAUUAUAAGUCCUCCAAAUUUUAUUUUUCGCUAGGCCUACCUCGGGCAUAACGAGGCACCAAAAUUAUGAAGCAAUAUAUCUUCCCCCACAAUGUGUUUAAAUAUUGCAAUAUAAUUUAUCGUAAUCCGCACUACGUGUUUACCUUUUUAUUUUUCUUUUAUUUUUAUUCCCCUCCCCAUAGGUUAGUUCGUGCAUUCUGGCAUCAUCAGCAUACUCCACAAGAUAAAAGGGUCCUCCACCUCCUCAUUCUCCGAGUCCUCCCAGAAAAAGGAACAAGAACAAAAUGGAAGAUACCAAUGCUAGAAAGGAAGUCGGAGAGGCUUCAAUCACCAAAGAAACUGCUGCUCAUCUUGAGCAAUUUUAGCUGAAGUUUCGAGAAGAGUUGGAACAAGUCCAAAACUUGGCAAGUCUGUCGAUCACUCUUGUUGCUGCUGAUGCCAACAAAUCACCACUGCCGCCACCACCCCAGCCUGCUUAGACCUAAGUCCGCAACACAUGCAACAAUGCUCCACUGCUUAUCCCGGAGCCCCAAAACACCUCAGAUAACCAAAACACUCCUAUAUUUGUGGAUGUUGUAUCACAUUACGGUCAGCCAAUCACCAAUGUAGCUGAGUUAGAUGACAAAAGCUCCCUCAUUCAGAAUUGGCUGCUGAGAUUAAUAAGUUGACAAACCGGGUUCAAGGUUUCGAAGGUAACAAGGGAGUUUAAAGGGUUGAAUUACUAAGAUCUCUGUGUUCAACCAGAUGUUGAGCUCCCGGAGGGGUACAAACCUCCCAAGUUCGAAUUGUUCGAUGGUAUCGGGGAUCCCAGGGUUCUCUUGAGAAUGUAUUGUGACAAGCUAGUAGGAUUCGGUAGGGAUGAGAAUACCUGUAUGAAGCUAUUCAUGAGGAGCUUGAAGGGUGAUGCCUUAUCCUGGUAUAUUAGCCAGGAUGCGAAAAAAUGGACUAGUUGGGUAAACAUGGCGUCUGAUUUCAUGGAUCUAUUUAGGUUCAACACUGAGAAUGCACCAGAUGUGUUCUAUAUUCAGAAUCUCAAAAAGAAGCCCACAGAGACCUUUCGCGAGUAUGCUACUCGUUGGAGGUCAAAAGCUGACUGGUCUUGGAGGAAGAACAAAUGAACAGAUUCUUUGUCUGUGCUCAAGAUCCACUGUACUAUAAAAGAUUGAUGCUAAUUGAGGGUCAAAAGUUCUCCGAUAUCAUCAAAUUAGGAGAAAGGAUUGAAGAAGGCAUCAAGAACAGUAUGGUCACUAACCUUGAGGCAUUGCAAUCCACCAACAAGGCUCUAUAGUCUUGUGGCUCGAGAAAGAAGAAGGAUUUAAAUUCCGUAAUGGCUUCGGAAAGAAACAACUCUCCCAAGAAGUACCAAACCUAUCCCUCAGCCCCACUUUCUAAGGUAAGACCGGCCUUAGAGGAAAAACAAAUUAGCAGAUUCUUUGUAUCUGCUCAAGAUCCACAGUACUAUGAAAGAUUGAUGCUAAUUGAGGGUCAAAAGUUCUCUGAUAUCAUCAAAUUGGGGGAAAGGAUUGAAGAAGGCAUCAAGAAUGGUAUGGUCACUAACCUCGAGGCAUUGCAAGCUACCAACAGGGCUUUGCAGUCUGGUAGCUCAUCAAAGAAAAAGGAUGUAAAUUCUUAAUGGCUGUGGAAAGAAACAACUAUCCCAGGAAGUACCAAACCUAUCUCUCAGCACCACUCACACAUCAGCCUACCCUAAAUUACCAAGCAGCAUCACCCACUUACCAAAUUCCACCACCUGCUUACCAAUCACCACCACCACUUAUAUAUCAACCCACUUCACCCAGAUAUUCUUAACCUGCACCCAUAUACCAAGCAUAUAACACCCAACCUUCUCAUUAUUCAUCACCUCCUACUCGCCAAAAUUUCUGUCGACCUAGGCCAAACUUUGACCGCAAACCUCGUAGGAAAUACACCGCCAUAGCCGAGCCGAUUGACCAAUUAUAUGAGAAACUCAAAGCACCAGGUUAGAUUUCUCCUAUCCCAGCCGUAACUCUAGAAAACUUUUCCUAGUUGAUCAAACCAAACAAUAUUUGCACAUACCAUUCCGGGAUGAAUGGUCAUACCAUUGACGAGUGUCACUCGUUAAAAGACAAGAUUCAAAAUCUGAUUUACAAUAAGAUUAUUAUAGCAAAGGAGCAUGCUCCUAAUGUGCACAAUAACCCUCUGCCUGACAACAAGGGUGGAGGAAUCCACAUGAUCGAGAUCGAAGAUGAUUAGGACCCUAAGGGGUCAAUAGGUUUGAUAGCUGAAGGAGAUGAGCCUAAGAAGCCAACGGUUACUCUCAAUCCCAUUGUCGUCCAGAUUCAGCCCUCUGAGGGUGACAUGGUAACUGUAUCCAUGCCAUUCGAAUUUGAAGUACCUUGUGCAACGAUGCCAAAACCAAUUGAGGUUGAGUUCGGAGUUCCAAAACAAUCUCCACCAUUUGAAAUUGUUGUGUUUCCUCCCAAGGGACCUAUUCCAGUCUCCAUGUCAGACAUGACCCCGUUCCAAACAAAUGCUAUACCGCGGGAUUAAACUACUGAGGCUAGAAGAAAAGGAAAGACACAUACUGGAGAAGCAAUUACAAUACAAGGCAUGACCAGGACAGGCAGGGUAUAUACCACGGAACAUUUGGCUGAGUCUAACAAGUAGGCCUCUGGGCGGGCUGUGGAAACUGGACCCGAUGACCUCUGGAGAAAGGUACAGGCCAAAGAGUACUUGGUCAUUGAGCAGUUGAACAAGACAAGGACGCAGAUUUCUAUUCUGGCCCUCCUACAAAGCUCUGAGGAACAUAAAAACACCUUGAUAAAGAUGCUAAGUGAAGCCUAUGUUCCCAGCAACAUAACAGGAGGCGAAAUGGAAAAUAUGGUGGGACAGAUACUGAAAUCCAUAAGAUCACCUUCCACGAAGAUGAAUUACCACCGGAACCGCUUGGUCACAACAAAGCGUUGCACAUCACUGCGCAAUACGAGGAUCACUUUAUCACCAGGAUUCUAGUCGACGGGGGAUCCAACUUCAAUGUUUAUCUGUUGGUCACUCUAAGGACAUUGGGCAAGGACUGCACGAGAUCAAGGACAUGGCUAUCAGUGUCAAGGUUUUUGACGGAUCUUAGAGGUGCACCAUUGAGGAAAUUAGCUUAUGCCUGCAGAUGGGACCCACCUGGUUCGACGUCGAGUUCCAAGUCAUUGACGUACCAGCAUCCUAAAACUUAUUACUAGGAAAACCCUGGUUCCACGCCGCUGGGGCUGUAGCAUCAACGUUGCAUCAAGCUAUGAAAUUUGUGUGGAAUCAGCAAGAAGUAAUAAUUCAUGGCGACGGUAGCAACCCUAUAUACAGUCGCCAGGCUAUCCUGAUGAUCAGAGGAAGAAGAAGAAUAAGUGGAGAAACAUACCAUCAUAUCGAGCGAGUCAAUGCCAUAGACAAGGAUAAGUGUUGGGAUAGAAAAAUCAAGAGCAUAUUUAAUUGGAGCAGAUACGAAGCGGGAAAGGGUCUUGGCAAGAAUAUCCAGGGUAUCACCAAGCCCAUGCGUUAGAGAGGUCAAAAAUUUUGAGAACAAACCUAAGUCCAAUAGAUGAAACCGAGUUCAUUAAUAUGAGAGAGGCAAAAAAUGUCAAGGAAACACGAAUCAUCGUACGCUUGUCACCAUCACAAAAGGAAGAAUACACAGAGUUUCAGAAAGAGUAUGAGGACAUAUUCGCCUGGUCGUAUGAUGAUAUGACCGGCCUCAGCACAUCUUUUGUGGCUCACAAGUUGCCGACAGAUCCUACAUGCCCAUCGGUCAAGCAGAAACUCAAAAUAUUCAAGCCAGACAUGAGUUUGAAAAUCAAAGAAGAAGUCACAAAGCAAGUCAAAGCCAGGGUUCUCAGAGUGGCAGAGUAUCCAACAUGGUUAGCCAACGUUGUGCUAGUGCCAAAGAAGGAUGGGAAGGUUAAAAUAUGUGUCGACUACCGGGAUCUCAACCGGGCCAAUCCUAAGUCCAACAUGGUUAUCCAACGUUGUACCGGUGCCAAAUAAGGACGGGAAGGUUAGAGUCUGUGUCGACUAUCGGGAUAUCAACCGAGCCAAUCCUAAAGACGACUUUCCUUUGCCAAAUAUACACAUAUUGAUCAAAAACUGUGCCAAACAUGAGCUGCAGUCGUUCGUCGAUUGUUUUGCUAGGUACCGUCAGAUAUGGAUGGACGAAGAGGAUGCAGAAAAAACGGCAUUCAUCACGCCGUGGGGAAUGUAUUAUUACAGAAUGAUGCCCUUCGUUUUGAAGAAUGCUGGUGCUACCUACAUGAGAUCCAUGACCACAAUCUUUCAUGAUAUGAUACACAAGGAGAUUGAGGUAUAUGUGGACGAUGUCAUCAUUAAAUCCAGAAAAGUUGCAGAUCACAUGGAAGAUUUUAGAAAAUUCUUCAAUAGACUGCGGAGAUACAACUUGAAACUGAACCGCGCCAAGUGUGCGUUUGGGGUCCCAGUCAGAAAAUAUUGGGUUUCAUUAUGAGUUGUCGAGGAAUAGAACUGGAUCCGUCAAAAGUCAAGGCCGUUCAAGAGUUGCCACCACCAAAGAACAAGAAAGAGGUAAUGAGUUUUGUUGGGAGGCUCAACUAUAUAAGCCGAUUCAUAGCUCAAUCCACUAUCAUUUGUGAACCCAUCCUCAUGAUGCUAAAGAAAUAUGCCGCCACUAAGAGGACUGAUGCUUGUCAAAAGGCUUUUGACAGAAUCAUGGAAUACUUGUCAAUGCCGCCAGUCUUAGUUCCACCUGAGCCAGGGAGACCUCUAUUGCUUUAUCUUGCAGUGUUGGAUGGGGCAUUUAGUUGUAUUUUGGGACAACAUGGCAAAAUAGGGAGGAAGGAGGAGACCAUCUACUACCUCAGCAAGAAGUUUACUCCUUACAAGAGGAUCGGUAUUCCUUAUUAGAGCGCACUUGUUGUGCAUUAACCUAGGUAGCUCAGAAAUUGAGGCAUUAUUUUUACGUUUACACCACUCAUCUCAUAUCUAAGAUGGAUCCAGUGAAGUACAUCUUUCACAAGCCCAUGCCUAUAGGCAAGCUCGCCAAGUGGCAGAUACUGUUAAGUGUGUUUGACAUCAUUUAUGUUACCUGCGCUUACACCAGUCAUCUUAUAUCCAGGAUGGAUCCAUUGAAGUAUAUUUUCCAGAAACCCAUGCGUGCUGGCAAGCUCACCAAGUGGCAGAUUUUAUUAAGUGAAUUUGACAUCAUUUAUAUUACCCAGAAGGCGGUCAAAGGACAAGCCCUGGUGGUUCACCUCGAUGAGAAUCCUGUAGGAGGAGAAUACGAACCCUUAAAGACAUAUUUUCCCCGAUAAAGAGAUAGCCUUCAUAGGCUAAGAUAUUGCAGAAUCCUAUGACGGUUGGAGGAUGUUUUUCGACGUAGCCGCAAACUUCAAAGGAGGGGUAUAGGAGCGGUUUUGGUAUCAGAAACUGAUCAUCUUUACACGGAGUCCGCCAAGCUCAGAUUCCCCUGCACCAACAAUAUGGCCGAGUACGAAGCCUGCAUCUUAGGGCUCAAGCUGGCUAUUGAUAUGAACAUUCAAGAACUAUUAGUGAUCGGAGAAUCAGACAUACUCUUACAUUAGGUCCGAGAAGAAUGGGCAACAAAAAAUUCCAAAAUACUCCCCUAUCUACACCAUGUGCAGGAUUUGAGGAAAAGAUUCAGAAAGACGGAAUUCCAGCAUGUUCCUAGAACACGGAACGAGUUCGCUUAUGCUUUAGCCAUUUUAUCAUCCAUGUUCCAACAUUCGGAUACAAAAUUUAUUGGUCCCAUCCCAGUCAAGAUUCCCGACCAGCCAGCUUAUUGUGCUCACGUCGAGGAAGAAGCCGACGGGAAACCAUGGUUCCAUUAUAUUAGGGAAUAUUUGACAACAGGAGAGUACCCAGAGCUUGCCAAUGCUACUCUGAAACGAACACUUCGAAGAUUGUCCAAUAAAUUCAUUCACAUUGGAGGAAUCUUGUAUAGGAGGACUCCUGAAUUAGGAUUAUUAAGGUGUGUCGAGGAAAAAGAAGCAACCAGACUAUUGGAGGAAAUGCACGCGGGAACUUGUGGACCACAUAUGAAUGGUUUUGUUUUGGCAAAGAAGAUACUUCGAGCAGGUUAUUUUUUGAUGACUAUGGAGACAGACUGCAUUCAAAACAUCCGAAAAUGCCACCGAUGUCAAGUACGUGUAGAUGUGAUAAAGGUGCUUUCAAACGAGCAUACUGUGACAAGCUCACCAUGGUCGUUCGUCGCUUGUGGUACGGACGUCACUGGAUAAAUCGAUCCAGCCGCGUCAAAUAGGCACAGGUUCAUCCUAGUGGAAAUCGAUUAAUUUACCAAAUGGGUUGAAGCAACAUCAUACAAGGCAGUCACCAACAAGGUAGUUGCAGAUUUCGUCCGAGAUCAUAUGGUUUGUCGGUUCGGGGUUCCGGAAUCAGUCAUCACCGACAAUGGUUCUAAUCUCAACAGCGACCUGAUAAAGGCAAUGUGCGAAACAUUCAAGAUCAGACAUAAGAACUCUACGUCUUACAGACCUUAGACGAAUACAGUUGUGGAAGCAGCCAAUAAGAACGGUAAGAAGAUACUAAGGAAAAUGAUUGAAAAGUACCAGUACUGGUAUCAAAAAUUGUCGUUCGCUUUGGUGGCUUACCGUACCAUAGUCCGCACAUCGACCGGGCAACUCACUACAUGCUAUUUUAUGGUACAAAGGCGGUCAUCCCCGCUGAGGUAGAAAUUCCAUCCUUAAGGGUCAUACAAGAAGUAGAAUUAGAUGAUGCAGAAUUUGUUAGAAGUCGCUACAAGCAGUUAGCGCUCAUCAACGGGAAGAGAAUGAAUGUUGUUUAUCACGGUCAAUUAUAUCAGAAUAGAAAACCCAGAGCCUUCAACAAGAAAGUCAAGCCAAGGAAGUUUACACAUGAGCAACUGGUGUUAACGAAAAUAUUUCUACAUCAAGAUGAAACCAAAGGGAAAUUCUCUCCCAACUGGCAGGGUCCAUACAUGAUUCACCGGGUAUUAACUGGAGGAGCCCAUAUUCUCGCAGAAAUGGACGGAGAAAUCUGGCCUAAGCCUAUUAACUCAGACGCAGUGAAGAGAUACUACAUUUAAUCACAUGCUUUCUUUUAUGAUGUAAUUUGAACUACACUUGACCUGAUUCCUGUUUAAGAGGGGAUACGUAGGCAUCCCUAUGGGUUCGGUCGCAUUGUUAAAAAAAAAAUCACUUUCCCCACUAUUGGAACUGGGGCAAAAUUUUUAGGAGGAUCCUCAAAUUUCCGAAUUCAGUUUUUCAAUCUCUUCAUCAGCACCGACCCAGUAAACUGGGGCAAAAAUUUGAGGGGGUCAUCAAGCACAGCCGUCAGCAGUGCCGACCCGAUACACUCGAGCAAAAUUUUGAGGAGGACCCUCAAAAUUCCGAAGCAAGCAAGGUCGUCGUGGCUUGAACCACGUUGCAGUCAUUGGUUUAUCCAAAAUAAAAGCAUUUUUUCUAUAUAUAUGUACUUGCUUCAUAUUUACUGAGUCAUGCAUAAACCCACUUACACCACCGUUGUUUAGCAAUGCUACCCUCAUUAUACACGACGCCAAAAUCUAGAAGAAAUGAGCUAACCUUCCUCCUACAUAACUGACGAUUUUUCUUUGGAUGCAUGAAUUCAGGUUACGGAUCAAAGCACAUUCAUUUUUCGGGAUCCAAACCCUCAUAUGGUCAAUAUCUGCACUCCCCAACAGUCUUAAUCUCGCAAAGUCAUCUACCAGCUAAGAAAACCUAUUACUCUUCGCUCUUUUACAUUCUUGCAUUGCAUAAGGAUCUUAUGUGCCUUUCGAGACUAAGCUCUGUCUCCAUCUGCAUUUUGCAUAAGGCUAUCUUCUGCCUUUCGAGGCUAGCCUCUACCUCCAUAUUGCAUAAUGCUCUUAUCUGCCUUUCGAGACUAAGCUUUGUCUCCAUCUGCAUUUUGUAUAAGGCUAUUUUUUGCCUUCCAAGGCUAAGUUUUGCCUCCAUAUUGCAUAAGGCUCUUAUCUGCCUUUCGAGACUAAGCUCUGUUUCCAUCUGCAUUUUUGCAUAAGGCUAUUUUCUGCCUUCCAAGGCUAUGCUCUGCCUCCACAUUGCAUAAAGCUAUCAUAUGCAUUUCGAGACUAAGCUCCGUCUCCAUCGGUGUUCUUGAUAAGGCUACUUUCUGCCUUCCGAGAUUAAGCGCUAGCUCCAUAUUGCAUAAGGCUAUUAUUUGCCUUUCAAGACUAAGCAUUGUCUCUGCCUUGCAUGGCUAAUAUAUCGCCGCUUUAUUCUUCGACUAGCUGAAACAUCGCCACCUGCAUUUGAAAUUCUCAUCUGGCUAAAAUAUCGCCAUCUGUUUUAAUUUCUCGCUAGGGCUGAAAGAUCGCCACCCUUUGCAUUUAUUUGGCUGAAUGAUUGCCACUUUUCUCAUGGGCUGAAAGAUCACCAACUCGUUCAAAAGAGUCAUAGUACGAAGGCACCAUCUGUGUAGCCCUAGAACAUCAUUCCAUGGUCUGCAAACCUUUAAUUUUAUGCUUUUCAUGGCCCGGAACAUUAUAGUCUGAGGAUAUCAUCCGACCAUCCAAGGACAAAUAUUCAGGGUCCAAUGGGAACUUGAAUCAUGUUUAAAUUAUGCAAUAUGUAUGCGCAUCGCCCAUUUGCAGGUGUUCCGGUUAUCAUACGGCCGCCUUAGCAGCACCGAUCCCGCUCUAGUUCUUCGCAGUUCGUCCAAGCUACAUAUCCCUUUCAAAUCUAACCAUCACGUCAGUUAUUUCAAAUUUCCAUCGGCAAUAUUCCGCCUUUGGUUCCUGAACUACAUAUGGCCUGAUUCCUAUAAAACCAUGGAUAUAUAGGCAGCUCAGAAACUAGGGCGCGGUCAAAAUCCUUCUACCUUCUUCGAUUGCGGUCAAAAUUGGCCAUCUUAUCUUCACUCGACAACUCUUUCAUCCUCUGCUGCUAAAGAGGGGCAGUUGUUGACACCCGAUUUUUUCCUAUAUAUUUUUGUACCCAAAAUACUUUCAAAACAGUAUAUGUAUGCAUAUAUAAGCAUGCCUAGAAAUUUUGGUAUUUUCCCUUAAUUGUCUAAGAGUUUUAAAAUAAAUUUACUACCUAUUUUUGAUAGUAUGAAGGUCAAAAUUAUUUAUUUUAGUAAAUAGUGUGCUUCACUCUCACAUUUACAACAAGAUAUAAUUAUAUAAUUUUUUCAGAUUUUUUACUAAUUUAUUUGGAAUUUUAAAAGCUAGUUGCAUGAAAUUACAAUUAUGGCCUACUUUUGCAAUUAAUUAUGAUUUAUAGUUAUAAAAUUAUUUCUAAUAUUUUUAGGUUAAUAUUUAUAUGUUAAAAAUUAGAUUAAACUAUUUUAGCUAUUUUAUAAAAUAUAUUGGGAGAAAUUGGCUAUUUAAUAGUUAGCAGAUUUUAUUUAAAUUAUAGCCUAAAUUGAACCCCCAUGUAAGCCCGAUUUUUAAACCCAAUUAGACGACCCAGUUCAUAAAAUAACCCGUCCCAUACCCAUAAAUUUACCCGACCCAGCCUUGAUUCGAUCUGAGUCGUUGAUCAAAUGAGAUCAACGGUCCAGAUUUAAUUUCUAAAUUAAAACCUAAUGACCCCUACCCCCACCCUCAUUUGAAAGAGACCGGUCUAUCUCUCUUGAAACCUUCGUGUCUAAGUUCUCUCUCUAAUCUCCGAUGGUCUUCAUCGCCGUUCUGGCCACCUCCACCCUAAUUCCUCUCUACCAACAUUCACCAUGGAACCUCAUCUCAUUAUCUCUCUCUAAGGUUUGAAGUUUAGAAGCUUCCGCCAUGAAAGAUAGCCACUGAAGCUUCGCCUAAGUUUGUGCCGGCCUUUCUCCGGUGGUUUUUUGUCCUAUGAUGCCAUAAACCCCGUUAUUGAUGAAUUUCACGGCCAGGUUCUUCCUUGCUCUAAUUCGUUUGCAAACCAUAAUUUUUCUACUCAAAUCUUUUUAAUCUUUGUUCUUUUAAAAUGAUUUUUGUUUAAGUUUUUGUUCCUACUCUAUUUCUCACUCAAUAUCUCUGAAUAUCUCAACUUUUCAGAUGAUUUUUCUCUUUUUCAAAAUUAGGGUUCCCGACCCCUUUUCAAAAUCGUAUGUCUUCUGAUUUUCUUGAGUGUUAUGUGUUUGUUUAUGUUACGAGUUUUUCUGAUUUCCUUGUUACCCUGAGUUCCAUGCCUUAAUUUCUUGCUAGGGUUCCAACCCUUUGUUGCUCCUAUGCUUUCUUCCUUACGGUUCUCUGAUUUUCAUGUCUAUUGUGCUUUAUAGGCCUAAAUGUUUUCGUGUAAUAUUCUACUGAUUUUGUACAUCUCUAUGAAUCUUUGAUUUGUAUGUGAUUUUCCUUAGAUGUUUUACACUGAUUUCUUUUGAAUUACUUCCUUACUUAGAUAGGUUUUCCUUACUUAGAAACAACUCCCUCUGACUUUUUGGUCUUGUCCGUGAUUCUUUGACAUAGGUUUUCCUUACUUAGAAACAAUUCCCUCUGUUUUUUUGGUCUUGUCCGUGAUUCUUUGACUAAUUGUCAGAACUAAUUUGUAUUCCCUUACCAUAUUUUUGUGUGAGCAGCCGUUUGAAUCUUCAGCAUAUAUUUUCUGUACUUGAAUUAUUAUGUGUCUAACCCCUAUUGCAUAUUAUAUGCUCUACUACUCUUACUAGGGUAAAUGCAGAGUCUGAUUGAUUCUUUUCCUUUUUAAACAAACUGCUUGUUACCGUUUGUCUUUGAUUCCUUAGUUAAAAGGGAGUCCUUAUACUGAUUAGAUUUUGAUUGAUUCCAGUUCCUUAAUUAUAGUUUGAUGCCUUGUUUGUUUACUCAUUUUAGUACUAUAAGUACCCUAUUCCAUUCUCUUUGAGAGACACUAGCACACAUAGCAUAUCUCUGACAAGUUCAAACUCUCUGAACUCGUUCAAAUUCUCUGAACUCUCUCUCACUUUCUCUACUGUUUCUAUACUCUCUCAUUCUUCUAUUUGAACACUCAAUCUGCUGAAUCUUGGCUGUUUAUUUCUACACUACUAGGGUUCCACUGCAUUAUUUACUUGGGUUUGCCUGCUGCUUACUUCUCUGCACUGCUUUUCUCACACUACUGCUCUUAUUCUCUGCACACUUUGCUCUCUUCUUGUACAUUAUUUCUCAUUGCUCUUGUGUUCUAUUUUCCUGCAAGUGGUAUGUCAUCUAUUUGGUGUACAAUUUCCAAAACAACAUGUUUUUUGUAGUUGUUCACUUCAUCUUUUUCCUUGUGUGUUUUUACCUACGGUUCUGUUUCUCUUAAUGUCACUAGCAUGUGUUUAUCAGUCUGCGUAGUUUAACUCAGCAUGCUCCCUUUACCCUAUUCCCCGUCUCAAUGAAUGUUUACUUUUCCUUGUGUAUUACUACCAUGUAUCCUGGUUUGCUUGGCUACUUGAUUAGCCUAAAACCUCUUCCUGAGGUUGAUUGUAUUAGUGUUUGGUGCAGUAAGAAAUGAACUCUUGUUUUGCAACAAUGUCUGAUUACUUUACUCCAAUGUGUUGCCUGUGUGAGUAGUUUAAUUUGCUUAUUUGUUCCCUUCCCCUUUGCCCUUGUUUGCGUGAUGCUUUGUUUUUUCUAAAAACUAGUCAGUCCAAAUGAUUUCAAAAGAACCGUUUCAACUGUUUUCAACUCUCUCAGUCCUACCACAAUCUCACUACCUAAAAAUUAGUCAGUCCAAAUGAUUUCAAAAGAAAUCUUUCAACUAUUUUCUCAAACUGUCUCAACUGUUUUCGGCUCUCCCAGUCCUACCACAAUCUCACUACUCUUAGAACAUUAGGUUCUGCCCCCUUGGUGUACACAUUGCCUUGGGAGACCUUGAGCACCCAUUGCACUUUGAUGCACAAGGCUGGCACUUCCACCCUUGCACUCGUCAAGUAAUGAUAUUUUGGGUGAUUGGUAUUGGCCAGGGGUUCAAACGAACCCUUAGGGAACUUUGCCGCACCUAAACAUUAGUACUGGCUGUGAAAUUCGAAAGAAGUGAGGUUGGAGAUGUUUGGCGUGGCUGAAGGCUCCCUAUUGAAUAACUUUUUAUUUUCUUUUAAUCACGGUUGUAUUUAAUUAUUUGGGCUGUAAUAAUUAGUGAAGAAUGACGGGGUUUAUAGUGAAUUGGGAUGAUUAUGCAUGCUUAAGUUAAGAAAAUGGGUACACAACAUGUCCUUGGGUAUUUAUUUCUUCAUUGUGCAAUAGAUACCAUGCUUUAGGACAUGCAUCUCUGCAUAUUGAAAUCAUGUUCCUAGGACUUUCACUCUCACUUGUUACUUUGCACGUUUUCUUAAUCACAAUCAAUCGAUAAUCAACAAGUCAUUAGCAUCAAAUUUGGAUACCAUGUGUAUAGGACUUUUGUGCAUUAGAUAUCCUGCCCUUUAGGAUUUUAUUUGCAACUUUCAAAACACUUCGCUAAAUUGGUAAAAUUGGUUAACGACUAUCCUUUUAAAACAUGAAGCAAAUGUGCAUGCUCACCAUCUUUAAUAACGCCUAGGCAAGCCAUAGGCCGGAUAAAAAAUGACUAAUCACCUUUAAGUCGUGUUCAAAUUAACUCGCCUCUGUCUGUACUCGUUUGUCUCUGAAGUCCUCUAAUUUUAUACAAACUUCUGCCCUAUUUUUAAACUAUCUAUGCAAAAGGUUUUUACUGUAUUUCUUGUCCAAAAUUGGACUACUAUUUCAACUAUCUGGAUACUGUACUUUUCAAAAUCUCAAAAGCUAGUAUGUUUAUUGUCUCUCUUUACACUUCUGCAAUCUUAAAAUAUUUUCAUACUUGCCCUUUCACUCUACCUAUCCGAAAAACUAUUUUACCAUAUGUCCCGCAAAUGUUUUUCUAAGUAAUUUCUGCAAAUUACUAAAACUGCUACUGCCUUCUUAAAGUUCUGAACGCUAUUCUUACGACCUCUUUGUCCAGAAUUGGACUACUAUUUCAACUAUCUGAAUACUGUAAUUUUCAAAAGCUCAAAAGCUAGUAUGUUUACUGACUCUCUUUACACUUCUGCAAUCUCAAAAUAUUUUCAUAUUUGUCCUUCCACUCUGCCUGUCCGAAAAACUGUUUUACCAUAUGUUCCACAAAUGUUUUUUCUUAGUAAUUUCUGCAGAUUACCAAAACUGCUACUGCCUUCAUAAAGUUCUGAACGUUUUUCUUACGACCUCUUUUCUGCAAAAACUCUCCAUCUUCUGGUUUUAACUUAUACUCCAGCUUUCUAAAACUCUCUCUCUUCCUUAAGACUUUAAAUGUGUCUGAGACGCGCUAAUUACGUGUUUAUUCUUAGGUGGUAUUUGAGAUUUUUAUAUGUUUAUAUGAUCCCCUUAUGUGCAAGUCCUAUUUACUCUUAUAUGUCGUCUAGCAUUUUAACCUUUAAACAUAAGGGUUCAGCCUAGCUCCUACCUUAUAGGAAUAGUAUUCCUAGCCCUCUAGGAUCUAUAGGAUGGGACGGGUAAUAGCACGCAGUAAGUAUUCGUGACCAAUCCACACGCUUAAAUAACUUCUACGGGGCGAGAAGGGUAGAAUAUAGAGAUGAUGAGGAUGCGAUAAUAUCAUAAAGCGACCCCUCUUUGGGAAUAUGUGCGGUAUAUUAUAUCGAAUGAUCCAUAUUAUAGAUAAACCUAGGACCCCUUACUUUUGUCGGAGUACUUUCUCUUAAAAAUUUCCCUUUUACUUAUGCUAUUCUUCUUUCAAUAUUUCUCAUUAGUUUUUUGUAUUCCUUAUAUGAACAUUUGCCUGUCUAUUUCUGUGCUCCUUAAAGUCAUAUCUAAGCAAGGCCGGGAACCACACUAGUGGAUCUUGAGGUGUUCCUAACACCUUCCCCUCGAGAUAAUUUCAUGCCCUUACACGAACCCUGGUUUUCAUUCAAAAUCUUCUUCUUCUUAAAAGUGUCCUAAUGCAUUUUAAUCAUUAGGUGGCGGCUCUUCAAACUCCUUAAUCUAAUUCCUACAAAGGGAAUAAGAGUUGUUUUGUCCAUAAUGUCGUAAAUCCAAUUUUACUUCUUUUAGGAGAGGGGAAAAGGGGGCGUCAACACCUAGAAUUCAGGAAUCAACCUCGAGAAUUCAAUUGAAACAAUGUUUUUCGAGUUUUUUACUGUAUUUUUGUUUGUUUUUUUUGUUUUUUCUUUGGAAGGAAUGAAGAUCUAAAGAAGUUUGAACUACAGAAUUCAAAUUUUUGAAUUUCUUUGAAUUUGAAAUUCAAAUUUGAGGAUCAGAUCUACAGGGAGGAUUUUCGGGAGAAGUUAAGAGCUGGAAGGUUUUGGGGACUUUUCAGAGAUGUGUAAACUUGUUAAUUAAGGCACUAGGCAUGCCAUUUAUAGGCAAGAAGAAGGACAAGAAGGUUCUAGAAGUUUUCACUCAUUUUCCCCCCUUUUUAUUUUCAGAAAUUACUUACUAACUCUAAUGUUCUGACUUGUUUCUCAAGUCACUGCCCUAAGAAUACUGAAACUUACACUAAGACCCUCUUGUGUAAGGACCUAGGAUGUUCUAGCUUUGUUUUCUACCUAUGUAAUACCUAUAUUACCCUCACUUUUAUUUAUAAAUUACUGAGCCUUAUCAAACUAACCCAUAAUAGGUUCCCAAGUUACCCUUUAAUACCUCUGAAAUUAUUAACCAAUCCCAACCCCUUUUAUCUUAGUUAAAGUCCAACAAUAGUUAACUAAGACUAAAUUAUUCAGCUAUAUCCAAUCACCUAAGCCCAAUUACUUUAAAAAUGAGCACUGAAUUAUAGAACAAUUAAAACUAAACUAAUUAAACUAACAGAAAGAUUAAUUCAAUCAAACCCAAAAUCAAACAUUGUUCAAAACAGGUUUGAAACAACAAUUAAACUAAAAUCCAAAACUACCAACCCAAGAUUGAACAAAAUGAAACAAAAUUAACUAUAAAGCACAUACAGAAAUCAACCCUAAGAAUAAAAGAAAAAGCUACUGCAUUUAAACCAAAUAUUAAACUUAUUAUCAUAAUCUGAAUCGGUCAGUAAAAUUCAAAUAAGGCCAAAACAGGAUCAAUUAAAUAGAUUAACAAAGCCUUCAACUAAUAAUCAAACAAAAACCAAAGAUCAAAACAAAUAAAAAUCUUAAAAGGAAUGAACAAACAAGCAGAACUGAGUACAAAAUCAGAACAGAGGUGACAAAAAAUCAAAGCGAAAAAUAAUUACAACAUCCAUUCAUUAAGCACAAACAGUCAUAUAAUUGAAUCAAACACAUGAAAGAAGAAGAAAACAGAAAUGAACUGUAAAAAACUUACUGUUAUGACUCUAGGGUUCCGGUGCCUUAUAAAUCAACUCCAGUGAUAUUUGAAUGUCACUGGUGGUGGAUUCUUCAUGAGGAGAUUAAGGAGGCCAGGUGAUAUUGAUUUGAUGGGGAUUGGUUGAUUUAGGGUUUUGAUGAAAUCUGUGAUUUAAGAUUCAAGGAUUUCGAUGAGGAUUUGAGUAAAAAGGUUUAUGGAUUUGAAGAGAAGAGGGUGAGGAGACUCUGUGGUGUUAUUUUGGUGGUGAAUGGAGCCGGUGCCGCUGGAUACCGCAGAGACGAUGACCAUAGCUUUGAUGAUUCGAGGAGUUUGGGAAUGAGAUUGAGAGAAAAUACUAUAGGGGUUGGAAAGAGAUCUUCUAGAGUUUUGGGAGGGAUUGGAGCUUAGCCACCGGCGGAGACGAUUUCCGGCCGGCGGUGACGGCGGAGGAACGCGGUGACAUGGUACGAGGAAGAAGGGAAACGUUUUAAGGUUUGUUUUGAUAUUUAGGAUAGUUUUAUGUAAUGUUGGAUUUAAGCAAGGGCCGUUAGAUUUGGG